This 73-nucleotide transfer RNA is filed under the name Trichonephila inaurata madagascariensis. It matches the Rfam family "tRNA". From Rfam's summary of the family: Transfer RNA (tRNA) molecules are approximately 80 nucleotides in length. Their secondary structure includes four short double-helical elements and three loops (D, anti-codon, and T loops). Further hydrogen bonds mediate the characteristic L-shaped molecular structure. tRNAs have two regions of fundamental functional importance: the anti-codon, which is responsible for specific mRNA codon recognition, and the 3' end, to which the tRNAs corresponding amino acid is attached (by aminoacyl-tRNA synthetases). tRNAs cope with the degeneracy of the genetic code in two manners: having more than one tRNA (with a specific anti-codon) for a particular amino acid; and 'wobble' base-pairing, i.e. permitting non-standard base-pairing at the 3rd anti-codon position. Lineage: Eukaryota; Metazoa; Arthropoda; Arachnida; Araneae; Nephilidae. The record is from Rfam by way of RNAcentral.
GUCCCUGUAGCGCAAUGGAUAGCGCGUUGGACUUCUAAUCCAAAGGUCGUGGGUUCGAAUCCCCCCUGGGAUG